Molecule: ribosomal RNA, 465 nt
Filed under: uncultured bacterium
Lineage: Bacteria
Description: partial 16S ribosomal RNA
Rfam family: Bacterial small subunit ribosomal RNA
Source: RNAcentral
GACGAACGCUGGCGGCGUGCUUAACACAUGCAAGUCGUACGGUAAGGCCCUUUCGGGGGUACACGAGUGGCGAACGGGUGAGUAACACGGGAGUAACCUGCCCACAACUUUGGGAUAACGCUAGGAAACUGGUGCUAAUACUGGAUAUGUGCUCCUGCUGCAUGGGGGGGGUUGGAAAGCUCCUGCGGCUGUGGAUGGACUCGCGGUCUAUCAGCUUGUUGGUGGGGUAGUGGCCUACCAAGGCGGCGACGGGUAGCCGGCCUGAGAGGGUGACCGGCCACCUUGGGACUGAGAUACGGCCCAGACUCCUACGGGAGGCAGCAGUGGGGAAUAUUGCACAAUGGGCGCAAGCCUGAUGCAGAAACGCCGCGUGCGGGAUGACGGCCUUCGGGUUGUAAACCGCUUUCAGCAGGGACGAAGCUUUUUGUGACGGUACCUGCAGAAGAAGCACCGGCUAACUACGUG